This 1914-nucleotide long non-coding RNA is filed under the name Monodelphis domestica (gray short-tailed opossum). Its description in RNAcentral is "lncRNA (ENSMODG00000030737.2)". The record is from RNAcentral. Lineage: Eukaryota; Metazoa; Chordata; Mammalia; Didelphimorphia; Didelphidae.
UUUUUUUACACUGAUAUGUAUUUUAUUUUACACAUUUGAAAACAUUAUUCCAAGAAUGGCUUGCAUAGGUUUCAUCAGACUGCAAAAGGGAUCCCAGAAAAGAGUCUAAAAUCUAGAGCUGGAAUCAGAAAUCAUCUGGGAUCUAUGAAGCAAUUUGUCACAAAAGGGAAGCUUGUAUGAGUGGAACCUUCAAAUUAGGGCUGCACGUGUUGCCCUGGAGAAUAUUUAGAAUGAGAUGUUGAGGGAAUUAGAGGUGUUAUGUAUACUUUUACUGGUUGCAGUCCAUCAUAGUCUUUGAUUCUUAUUUCUUCUUUUUAAUAAAACUUUCUUAUAUAGUCUAUUCCAUUAUGGCCCAAAUGCUCACAGGUGUGGAAUUAGAGCCAAUAUCUAUGUGUUAAAAAAUUAAAUUAGUCUCUACUGAUAAAAAUAUUAUAUUUUAUGAGGUUUAUUAAAGAUUAUUAGAAAUCAAGGAUACAAAAUAAUCAACCACAUGCUUAGGGCUGAUUAGCCCAUUCACAUUUUACUUACUACAUGUUUUAAUCACUGAGUAGAGGAAGAGAGAGGCGGAAGUAGGCGGUACAGCCAGUUUAAAUACAAGUUGUGAUCUCGUCCAGGUGGGGUCUCAGGUGAGAUUAUAGGGAAUUCUGGGAAGUACCAAGGACUUCUGGGGAUUGAAGUCUGGGGUUCAAAUCUCCAUUUUACACAUGGAUUAUCCAAUUAAGAGGUUUUUACCAAGAUUUCUGAGGGUACUUGGGCCAGUAGCGUUGUAAUACCCUUGCCAAAUGAUCAUGGCCCUUUAUGCAAUGGCGCCACUGACAAAAAUGGAUUACAGAAGAAAAAGAUACAAUUAUCGGGAAGAUGGAGCAGAAACAUAUUCCAUUCCUUUCCUUGGAGUGGGAAAGGGUGAAGAAACUGAGGCAAAAAGAGGUCAUGUGACUUUCCCAAUCUCACACAGGGUCAGAACCAGAGCUUGGACUGGAAACCAGACCCCCUCACGGACUGUUCAGAGUUCUUUCUAUGCACUGAGCUGCCGCCUUGCAAAGAAAUAUCCGCAGUGUCUUGUAUGUAUAAAGUAAAUAAUUCAUGAUUAUUAGAUUGGCUAAUAAUCCCUGAAAUAUGGGAAAAUGAAUGACCAUGAUCAUUAUUUUAUUGAACCAACAAGACUCUUGAUGGUCUUCUGCUAUUUUGUUUCUCAAUGAGGACUUUACCUGAUUUUCUGAAAGGGAGGUUAGGAAGGAAAAGAAGUCUGAUCUAUCUGGAUUUUCUUUCUUUCUUUCUUUCUUUCUUUCUUUCUUUCUUUCUUUCUUUCUUUCUUUCUUUCUUUCUUUCUUUCUUUCUUUCUUUCUUUCUUUCUUUCUUUCUUUCUUUCUUUCUUUCUUUCUUUCUUUCUUUCUUUCUUUCUUUCUUUCUUUCUUUCGACUGCAGGCUUUCCCACUUGCCUUAUUGACUUAUUUAGAAAAUAAUUAUUCUGAUUAGGAUUCUGAUUUCCCCAGGCUACAGGAGAUAAAAGCCAGAAUGAGGACUUGGAAGGGAGUUGUUAGAGAUACAUACUCAGGUAACAGCAGAAGUGAUAGCUUCUAUCUCCACAAGAGGAAAACUAGAAAAUGUAGGCAAAAAUGUAGUAUUGUACUUAAAAAAAACUAAUCAACUUUCACUUUAUUGUAAGCUUUUAUUUGAAUAUUAGUUCAAAUGGAGUUAUCUGGAAGUAUUUAAAUGAACAAAUUUUUUGAUGUAGCACUUUAAAAAAUAUUUCCAUCAUUACUUUCCACUGCCCAAAGACCUUUAAUAUACUAACCCGAUUAAUUAAAAAACCUUUUGGGAAAUGCAUUUAGGUUUUUGAUAAUAAUUAAUAAUGAUUGGUAAUAAUUAAUAUAUUUUACAUCAAUAACAGAUAAAUGAUAAACAAAAGAUGAC